AGACUGUGGUGUGGACUGCAUCUCAACAAGUCCUUAUACCUCUCCCAGGCGUCAUACAUGCUCUCGUCGUCCAUCUGCACAAAAGAAGAAAUGUCAUUUCUUAAUAU
Molecule: small nucleolar RNA, 107 nt
Filed under: Ricinus communis (castor bean)
Lineage: Eukaryota; Viridiplantae; Streptophyta; Magnoliopsida; Malpighiales; Euphorbiaceae
Description: Plant small nucleolar RNA R71
Rfam family: Plant small nucleolar RNA R71
About the family: R71 is a member of the C/D box family of snoRNAs containing the C (UGAUGA) and D (CUGA) box motifs. Multiple nearly identical copies of this snoRNA have been identified in Arabidopsis, and it is thought to function as a 2'-O-ribose methylation guide for 18S ribosomal RNA.
Source: Rfam by way of RNAcentral